GGCAGGCGCGGGAACGAAAUGAGUCACGAGAUAUCACCACGAUUCAGCCAUAACGAUUACACUGUAAUCACAGUAAACCUGGAAGUAAUUGCUGAUUUGCUGUCAGUCCAGCAAGAAGAGACAACCAGUCAACAUACAUAGCACACGGCGCUGAUACAGGACUCUAGUCUAAAGAGUCUUGGAAAAGAAACGUGAUUAUAAGCAGUGCUGAAUAGCUACCAUCGGCGGGAUUCGGGAAUAGUAUUGUUAGGAAACAACAGAUGUUCCUUACAAGCUGUACUCAGUCUCACUAAUGCCGGGAGCUCAUAGUAUGUGACUGCAGUAAAAACAGUAUAAAUCAAAGGAUCUGCAUACCUUGCAACAUUGACAGCAAAAUGAUUAUCAUUUGAUUGUUAAAGAAUUACAAAUACACUUAUAUGGGAUCGGCUGUGCUACUACCCAAGACUUCUGGAAAUGCAAUUAUGUUCCUAUUGACUGUUGAGGCUGCGUUAAAAUGUUUGUAUUUAUGAAACCUUUAAAGUAAAUCUGUAAUGGGAA
This is a long non-coding RNA of Pseudophryne corroboree (corroboree frog), 537 nucleotides long. RefSeq lists it as uncharacterized. NCBI's taxonomy places the organism in Eukaryota, Metazoa, Chordata, Amphibia, Anura, Myobatrachidae. The transcript has 2 exons. The record is from RefSeq and is a predicted model, not a curated record.